CAAGCGUUGUUCGGAUUCAUUGGGCGUACAGGGUGCGUAGGCGGCGCGGUAAGUCGGGUGUGAAAUCUCGGAGCUUAACUCCGAAACUGCAUUCGAUACUGCCGUGCUUGAGGACUGGAGAGGAGACUGGAAUUUACGGUGUAGCGGUGAAAUGCGUAGAUAUCGUAAGGAAGACCAGUGGCGAAGGCGGGUCUCUGGACAGUUCCUGACGCUGAGGCACGAAGGGCAGGGGAGCAAACGGG
RNAcentral lists this ribosomal RNA (242 nucleotides) under uncultured bacterium. RNAcentral describes it as "partial 16S ribosomal RNA". It matches the Rfam family "Bacterial small subunit ribosomal RNA", at positions 535 to 776 of the family's 1533-position model. The record is from RNAcentral.